UACGAAGGGGGCUAGCGUUGCUCGGAAUUACUGGGCGUAAAGCGUGCGUAGGUGGUUCGUUAAGUCUGUCGUGAAAGCCCCGGGCUCAACCUGGGAAUGGCGAUGGAUACUGGCGAGCUAGAGUGCGGUAGAGGAGAGUGGAAUUCCCGGUGUAGCAGUGAAAUGCGUAGAGAUCGGGAGGAACAUCAGUUGCGAAGGCGGCUCUCUGGACCAGCACUGACACUGAGGCACGAAAGCGUGGGGAGCAAACAGG
This 253-nucleotide ribosomal RNA is filed under the name uncultured bacterium. RNAcentral describes it as "partial 16S ribosomal RNA". It matches the Rfam family "Bacterial small subunit ribosomal RNA", at positions 524 to 776 of the family's 1533-position model. The record is from RNAcentral.